UUAUCCGCAGCAGAACACCUACUCCCUAAACACCACCACCACGAACCAGAGUCCACCAUGAAUUUUUUCACUUGAAAACCUAAUAGAAACCCAAUGGAAACUCGAUAAAGCUUCACAUCUCUUAAUUUUUUGCAGGGUUUUACUUUUUCAAACAACAUCAUGUAAAGUUGAUUUCUCAAUUUGGUGCGGUUAUUAGGGUUCAUCAGGUUGAUUUCUCAAUUUGGUGCGGUUAUUAGGGUUUGAUUUUACAAAGGGAAUGAAUGAUCUGCGUGCGUUCUCUAUGUGCAUAUCUAGUGCCCAAAUCUGAUAAACGUUAAGGCUGAGCUUUUUGACAAGUUCCUCGAUGUGAAAAUCCUUGCGAUUCCUCUGGAUUUGCUGUUUGAUGAGGAGGAAGAUGAAAUUGUUUUUAAAUUAUUGAGCAGUGGUUGUAGAGUGCAUCUUACUGGUUACCAUGAUGGAAACGGUAAUGGUGGAGAUCAAGAGUGAUGUAGCAGCAUCUGAAGCAAACAAGGAAAGUGAUGAUCCCAAAAUAGGGAUGAGAAGGAAGUUGAGGCCAAGAAAUACGAUGACGGAAAGGAUGAUGCAGCUUUGACUGGCAUUUGCUUGUUGAUGAGGAAUGCUGGCCGGAAUUCUCUAGGGAAAACUGAUGAUUUGAACUUUUUUUGGGUUCUUGGUUUAUUCCAUUUAAGCAGUCUCUUUUCCAAAUGAUGUAUUGAUUGUUUAACUGGUUUGUUUUACAUGCCCUCAAAAUUGAUCCAAGUGAUGUUGUUGUAUGUAUCCAGUUAGUGGGUUUAAAGCACCAAAGUGAGUUUGGCCAUCUAGAUUGUCUAGGGAAGAUUCUCAACAACGAAUUAAUGGCAGAACCUUGCUUCUCAAUUGAGCGAGUUAGUUGGCAUCGGAGAUAUAAAUGGUGAAGUUUGGCAGGUGCUCAUGGUAAGGAAGGUGGUGGUGGGCAUCAAGUGACUUCUUAACCCAUGGAAGGAAAGACCCUGCAAGUGGAGGCGGCAACAUUCAUAAAAGUAUCUUUCUUGGUUUGACGAUUUCUAGGUGCAAGAAAGGCGUUACGUCUUAUAUAGCUUGUUAAAGUAUCCGGACUAGUAAUUCAAUCUUCAGGUGGUUCAUAGACUAAAUCGGUUCUUGGCCUUCAGAAGCAACCAUUUCACACGGUAUUUCUGUGGUCAUUUUACUUUAUGUUCUUGUUGAAGAUCAUGUAUGUUAGUCAUAUAAGAUCGGUUAUACACAUAGUUCGUGUAUCUUUACCGUGCUUGUAAAUUGGUUAUAUAAGAUCACGGUUAUACACAUAGUUCGUGUAUCUUGUGGAAAAUGUAUGAAUUGUGCAUUGAUAAUGUAUGAAAUAUGAAUUACGGAUUGAAAAUGAGCA
Molecule: long non-coding RNA, 1381 nt
Organism: Papaver somniferum (opium poppy)
Lineage: Eukaryota; Viridiplantae; Streptophyta; Magnoliopsida; Ranunculales; Papaveraceae
Exons: 10
Source: RefSeq, a predicted model, not a curated record